Bolinopsis microptera is the source of this 2150-nucleotide long non-coding RNA. RefSeq lists it as uncharacterized. The transcript has 4 exons. Lineage: Eukaryota; Metazoa; Ctenophora; Tentaculata; Lobata; Bolinopsidae. The record is from RefSeq and is a predicted model, not a curated record.
AUUUAGUAAAUGGCUGAUGCCGUUCAAGACCCACAGUUAGGGGAGCAUGAUGAACAUGUUCCUAUCAUGGAUCCUAGAGGUCCACCACCAGUGCCACCGAGAGCUCUUCUAGCACAGCAAGCACCAGUACAGUUUUUAAGAUCACCUCCACAGUUACGUCAUGAAAAUGACCUGGACCUUUAUUUACUCCGAUUUCAAAGUUAUGUUAACUCCAUAGGAGCAAGACUCGAUGAAAUACCCCACAUUUUGGUAAAUUGUAUGAGUGACGAGGUUUUGAUGGCUGUAGAGAGAUUUCUUGUUCCUAACAUAGCAUACGGCCAGCUGAUAGCAAUCUUGAGAAGAGAGCUUGGAGAAACGAAUGAAAAUAGAGAGUCAUAUAAGGCCAAGCUACGAAAAACAUUGAGAAACCGGAAUGAAAAUGUCAGAGCAUACUAUGUACGGUUAUAUAAUAUUGCCAAGAAAGCAUAUGCCAACCAUGAGGAAUUCCGGGACCUGGUUUUGCGAGACGCAUUUAUCAAUAACAUCCAGGACGCAGGAAUUGCUGCUAGAUUGCGCGAGCAAGCUAACAUGAAUAAUGAGCAGCUAUUAGAGCACGCCACCAUGCUUGUAACCUGCAAAAAUGCCUCGUCACGCCAGACCGAGCAAAUAAAUGCAGCACUUAAUUCUGAAAAAUCUGCCCAAAAUGAGCUACAGAAAAUAUCAGAUCAAUUAGGACAGCUUGUAGACUUAAUGGCAAAUAAUUUCCUCACAAUCACAGACACAUAUGCUAAAAAUCCAGUCUCUGAUCUAGCUGAAAUCGAUUACCAUAGGCAAGGUUGUCAAGGUGAUGAGUACCAAACCUACCAAUUCUUUGAUUUCGAAUAGGCAAACCGGUACACAUUAUUUUGAGCACGGUAAUACAUAUAAUUAUAUAUAUAUUUUUUAAAAAUAUAUAAAAUAAAACUAAAAGAAAACUUUAUUAUAAACUAGUAAUCUUAUUUUAUAUAAGUUUUCUUUAUUUUCGUUAGUAUGGAAAAUCUCUUUUUGUUAAUGAGAUUUAUUUACAUGGUUUUUAAUAUUUUCGUUUGUGAUCGUUCAAAAGAAUUAAAAAAAGUCAUUCAAGCAUUAUUUUAUCGACGGGGACGUCUCUUUAAAGCAGAGAGAUGUAAUGAACCUCGGAAAUUCCAAGAAUUUCCAGUCAUUCUGUGCUUGAAUGAUUUUGUGUUUAAGAUAUAUCUCCUUAAGUUUAGCAGAUCAUUUAUAUAAGAAGUGUAUCUGAAUUAUAGAAUAGGCUUACGUUUAAUUAACAAACGGAGCUUUUUGUGUUUAACCAAGGGACAAUUCGACACGGUUGAUGACAUUCCAUGGAGGUGUCCAAUCAGAGCGCCACAGAAGAACACCUGAUAGCAGACCGGCCUAUCAGUAUCACAGUUUCAGACGAUGGUCUAUGGAUCGUAAGGAUGGAUAAUGAGCGGCAGAGUUUAACGAUAAUGAGCGGCGGACUCAGUGGGAUCGGAGAUGAUAUAUGAGGAUGACGAUCGGAGAACAAGGGAGUCUUAGACCAGCACAGUCGAUAGGGUUGUUCGAGUACUCAGGGGCCAAUAGGCAGGUUUCGACCGGCUACGCCAUGUUUUAUAAGCUUGCUAGACGUAGUAAUCCAGUUCAACCAGACACGAAUACAUCUUGCAGUUUUAUUUAUUUUGUUGAUAAGAUUCCUCCUAAACUAGAUGACAAUUCCAAAGACCAUCAUGCGUGUUGGGUUCGUUCUAGAGGUCACAUAUCCACGAGGAUUCCUGCUAAUACCGUGUUGUUACUUGCUAUUGUCAAUACCAGCUUGAUCGGGCCAAGAAUAAUUGAUUCUACUUCGUCAGCCAAGACCAGACUUCCUCCACCAUUCGUGACGGCCAACCUGUUAAAGAUCGAGACACCGUGAUACUCCAUUCCACCUACACCAUUGCUUAGAAAUAGACUUUGAAAGGUGAUUGCACCAUCAUAGAUUUGGACACCAAGAUAUUUCCCUUAAAUAGGUUAUGAGAAGAUGUUCUCCCGUGUCAAUUAAUUAGUAUAGUACAAAAAGCUUACUUCCAUUGUUAUAUAAUCAUUUUUUUAUAAGAAGGUUUUUGUUCAUUAAUUACACUACUAUUAUUAUAGUAGAUCUAUAUUCUUGCUUA